GUGGUUGUGGCUCAUUGGGUAGAGUGCUUGCCUAGCAUGUAUAGGGCCCUGGGUUAGAUCCUCAGCACCACA
This 72-nucleotide transfer RNA is filed under the name Marmota monax (woodchuck). It matches the Rfam family "tRNA". From Rfam's summary of the family: Transfer RNA (tRNA) molecules are approximately 80 nucleotides in length. Lineage: Eukaryota; Metazoa; Chordata; Mammalia; Rodentia; Sciuridae. The record is from Rfam by way of RNAcentral.